GGGAAGCCCAAGAACGUUUAUUGCAGGAACAACACAUUCAUGUUUUGAAGUCUCUGGGCAUCAUUAGGGUUAAUACUGAAGUUAACCCUAACGAAGAAUGUCAAGCCACUAUCUUUACAAAUGAUAAGGUCGUCAAGGAGGAAAAAAGAGAAGAAGAAGAGCUAGAGAUGUAUGAAGAGGAAACAAAAACAGAAAAAGUUGUUGCUGCGAAAAAGAUAGAGGAGAUAGAAAAAGAAAAAUUGAAUGAGAGUGAGAAGAAGGAUGAGAAAGGAAAAGCAGUGGUUGAAAGAAAAAAC
Molecule: long non-coding RNA, 296 nt
Filed under: Vigna radiata
Lineage: Eukaryota; Viridiplantae; Streptophyta; Magnoliopsida; Fabales; Fabaceae
Description: long non-coding RNA (VRAD_LNC017450)
Source: RNAcentral